CAAAUUUGGUCCCAGAAAGUAUCGCAGUGGUGAGGAGUAAACCCAAAUUUGGUCGCCAAAUUUAGGGUUUGAGACCAAAUGUGGUCGUCGGCCCAGACUAAAAAAGAUAUAGUGGGACGGAAGUAUUAGGAGCGUAUGAUAUCAGGCGUAAGUUUAAUCACCGUAUACAAUCAGGCGAGCAUAUAAUCACCGUAUGAGUCAGGCGCAUGUAUUAACUCCGCCCCCUUCAAACGCGUCAGACGAUGUUAAUACUUACGCCUGAAAUGGGACGGAUGUAUAAAGGGCGUAUGAAUGAGGCGCAGUUAUAAAAAACGUCUGGGUUGGGCGCAUGUAUUGUGAGCGUCUGUGUCUAGGCGUAUCUUUAAUGUACGUCUCUUGUCCAUCUACCCUCCGCGUUUCUUCAUUAGCUUCUAUCAAACACAAAUGAAGUUGCAUUUCUCACUGAAGCUGGUUGUUCUUAUCGAAAGGAAAAAAAUCUGAGAAGGGUUCACAAUGGUUGGAAUAAAAGCCAGCAGUGGUGAUGGUUUUGAAAGCUAGAUGGAUUUUUGGAGUUCAGGCAUGAGUAAUGAUUUAAUAAACUUGGGAUAAUGAUGACCUAACAGCAUCAACAGUGGAUACAGGAGAUGCUGAUGUUGCUUCCAUUGUUCCAAUCGGUUGAUGGCUGCAUACAAAGGAAGAAUGGAUCCUCAAAUUUGCUCGAGUAUGGUACUGGCCGUUGAUUCGUACAACUGAAUGAGAGAUAAAGUUCACGGCAACAGAACGAGAUGCAGAGUGUUAACUGGUUGCUCGAGCUGUGCUAUUGCCGGAAGAUGGAGAAAUGGAACAGUGGUGUCAGGGGUUGUUGGCCGAUGGUGCUGUGACUGAUAUGGCAUUGCUCGUGUUAUGCUCGAGUUUGAGAACUUUUGGAAAGAAUGAUGGGUUGGCUGAUAUUAAGCUACUGCAAUCGUCGGUGUUGGAAAAAGAAGAGACGAAGAAAGAUGUUAGACGAAUUGGUUUCACGACACAGACGCAGUUUCUAUCUGCGUUUGAAUGAGACGCCAUUUGUAACUCCGUCCCAGCAAACGCAAUUACCAUCUACGUCCCGUGCACGGCGUGAAUAAUACCUACGUCCCAUUCAAGCGCGCAUUAUACCUCCGUUUCAUUCAGACGCAUAUUAUGAACACGCUCCAUCAAGAAACGUGGAUAUAAGUUGCGUCCCGCAUCAAGCGUGGAUAUAAGUUCCGCUUCACCAAAAUUUGGUAUUCUCCCACUGGGCUUGAACACACGGAAAACCAAAUUUUUUUGGUUUUUAAUCUGGCUUUUGGUAUUUGGUCCAUCUCAUGACUGUGGUUGCUCUUAUCUUUUCUAAACAAACAGUGCAAGUAAUGAACAAACUCUCUCUCUCUUUCUGGCUUGAUUGAAAUUUUUUGGGGUUUGCUUCUGUUUAUCUCUGACACAAAAAGAAUCCCCCACCUUCCCAAGUAGCUCAUCUUUUUUCUUUUUUUUUUUCCUUCUUUCACAGUCCAGCUACGAGAUAUCAGUUUCCUUUUAUGGUAGAAAAUUUACCCCCCCUGGAACUAUUAUCAACUGUUGCACAAGUAGUAGUAAUGGAUGUUAAAGAAGAAUAGUGGGAAUUAUAUAAUUGCCCUCAAUUCUGACGCGCUACACAAAUACCCUUAUCCUCUCUCUUUCAAUUCCAUCAUCGUCUUCAUCGCCGCUACCACCACCACUACCACCUUCUCCUCCGUCGCCACAAACAGAUUCAGGAACACCAUCUUCGCCAUCACCUCCUAUACUUCCACCAAAUCCACCACCACCACUACCACACGACAUCUUCGCCACAAACAGAUUCAGGAACACCAUCUUCGCCACUAUCUUCAUCGUCGCCACCACUAUUCUAGCAGCACCUCCACUUCCGCUACCACUUCAGAAGCAGAUCAUUGUUCAUCUCCUCCUUCAUUUUGUCUCAUAUUUUCGGUAUAAUCUCAGAUACAGAGAGAUCGAGAUUUUCAAUUUUUAGGGUUGUCUUCUGAUAGUUUUCGAUUUUUAGGGUUCAUCUUCUGCUCGUUUUCGAUUAUUUUAUUAAAGAUCGUGUUGAUUAGUGAUUCUGUCCGCCAUGAAGAUUAGAUAGGCAAGUUGUUACUACUUAUACAUGAAAAGAUGAGCUUCUUCAAGAGGAGGGUAUAUACCAUUUCAAGAAGCGUUCAGUUUUCGUAACUACAUCGAGCCACUUGAUUUUGUUUGAAUAUAUCCAGUUUUGCUUAUCUUUGAUUGUAAAUUCUCAUACUGCUGCAAAUUCACGGGGUAGCUUUUGUUACUAUUUUUUUUCGUCAGUAGAUGAGAAUCCAGAUCUUUCCAUGGAGAAAUUGCAUUAAUGGAGGCAAUUCAGAUUUCAGGCAAGAAAUGAACCAAAUACCAAGGUAUGUGCAGAUUCAGUAGUUGAAUCUUUUCUCUAUUAUUUAGAUGUGCAAUCUAUAAGAGAUUUUACUUGGUUUUUGGUUAUAAGGUUGUAAACAUGAAUCUUCUAUGUUAGCAAUACUCAAAGUUUAAGUUAUUUUGUGGAACAACUAUGAAUGGAUGUUUACGCCAGAACAUCAUGUACUGGGGCAAAUUGUCCCAGUUAACGGUAUGUGUAGCAAAAGCUGCAUCCGAAGUGUAGUUUAAUUCUGCGUAGUACUUAAACUAGUGAAUUGCAUUAAUUGAGGCAAUUCAGAUUUCAGGCAAGAAAUGAACCAAUGAUUACAUUAGAGAAGAUAGUGAUGAGCUAAGGGUGCUUGUAAAGAUUACUAUAGUCCUGUUCCUAAUAGAUUUUGCAUUUUCUAAAGCAAAUGAUAACAGGUGAGUGGGUACCUUAUUUGAUUUUUCUUGAUUUUGGGUUUUGGCAUAUAUACUAUUCCGAACCAACUUUGUACAGAUGAGAGGUUAACAAGGUACAGUCGACAUAUAUAAUAUAUAUAACACUACUGGUGAUGAGUAAUUAACAAGGUUUGAUUCUUAUUCUUUCUUUAGCAAUAUAACACUAUUGCUUUCUGCUACACUGUUUUAAAUUAUUAAACAUGCAAUUAUUAUUACAUUUGCAUUACAACACCAUUAGUCCUCGUUAUUAAUGUUUAUCAUCAUUAGAAAAUUUCUGUAAUACUGACAAGGUGUGCCAUGUUUUCUAACCAACUUGAACGUUUAGUACUAUUAUUGGAGAAAUGCUUGGGUAAGCUCAUAUUUUGAUUAAGUGAAUAGGAUUAGUCUAUGGCAUAUCCAUAAAUUGGAAACUUAUUUUCCUGACAUAAUACCUAGGCGUCUUAUGAUAAAAUUCCAUGUGUAAAGCACAAUACGUGGUGGCGGGCGGGCGGUGGUGGACCAGUGGUGGCGGGCGGGCGGGCGGGCGGGCGGUGGUGGACCGGUAGCGGUGGUGUUCCGGUGGUGGGGUACUAGUGGUGGUGGCGGUUGGUAAGUGGUGGUGGAAUGAUAGUUGAAUGUUGGUGGUGGGAUAUUUGGUAGUGCUAGUGGUGGUGGUGGCGUUCAAAUGGUAGAUACAAAUUUUUAUUGUAUUUCGAAAGAAAAAAAUAUAUUAUAUGAGUGAGGAUAUUAAGUUAAUCUAAUUUUUUAUGGAUAAGGUCUUUAAAUGACAAGGGUAUAUUUAUUUGGUUUUCCCUGUUUC
Papaver somniferum (opium poppy) is the source of this 3634-nucleotide long non-coding RNA. RefSeq lists it as uncharacterized. The transcript has 2 exons. The record is from RefSeq and is a predicted model, not a curated record. NCBI's taxonomy places the organism in Eukaryota, Viridiplantae, Streptophyta, Magnoliopsida, Ranunculales, Papaveraceae.